Molecule: long non-coding RNA, 716 nt
Organism: Bombyx mori (domestic silkworm)
Lineage: Eukaryota; Metazoa; Arthropoda; Insecta; Lepidoptera; Bombycidae
Exons: 2
Source: RefSeq, a predicted model, not a curated record
GUAAAAAAAAUAAGAGACAUACAUUAUCACUGCGGUUAGCCGUCAGUUUGUGUUUCUUAAAAAGUUUAAACUUCAUUAACGCUUAGCCAGCGCACUGUGGUUGUAUCUUGAAAGCGUUCUGGUGAGGCAGACUGAUGAGUUUUAUAAAAGUUCGGACGUUGCCGUUUCAAUUGUUUCGAAUUAAAAGCACACACCUGUUUGGAAGUAGAUGGGGCGUCUUUCAGAAGCACCGGUUCCAUUUGCAGAGUUUCCUCAUCGACUCCCGGGUCAAAGGUCAAAGGUGUUAUUUGUCGGUACCUGUGCAAAGAAUAUGCUAAUCCAUAUACAAAAAAAACUAUAGUAAUAUAUAAAUCUACAGUGAUUUUUACGGAUGUUCCGUUAUAACUACUGAACCAUACAUCCGAUUGACUUGAAGCUUGGUAUCCAUGUAGAAAAUACAUGUACAUAAUAGAUAGGCUAAUAUUUAUAUGAGUGUUGGACUCCCUAAUAAUAAUGAUAAUAAAUAAUAAUGUUAAUUUUAAAUGCCCAGCGAAGCGGGCGAGUACGGCUAGUAAAGGAUAAAAUUAUAAUUAAUAAAUUAAUUAAAAAAAAGGGCUUCAAAAUGGUCAUAUCUACAUCGAUUAUUAGAAUAGUUGAAAUCGUUGAAUAAUUAUUAUAACAUUAGACUCUAAUGGCGUUAUCUCUUUUAAUACACGAAUAUAUGGAAUUGAAACAAG